Aricia agestis (brown argus) is the source of this 94-nucleotide long non-coding RNA. RefSeq lists it as uncharacterized. The record is from RefSeq and is a predicted model, not a curated record. Lineage: Eukaryota; Metazoa; Arthropoda; Insecta; Lepidoptera; Lycaenidae. The transcript is spliced from 3 exons.
CCUGGUCAUUCUUGCGCCCCUCCAGAGUCUACGCCCUGUGCCUGGGCACCGGUGGCACCGCCCUAUUUACGGCGCUGCUCCUUAGUUAAUAAAG